UCGUAACAAGGUCUCCGUUGGUGAACCAGCGGAGGGAUCAUUACCGAGUUUACAACUCCCAAACCCCUGUGAACAUACCAAUUGUUGCCUCGGCGGAUCAGCCCGCUCCCGGUAAAACGGGACGGCCCGCCAGAGGACCCCUAAACUCUGUUUCUAUAUGUAACUUCUGAGUAAAACCAUAAAUAAAUCAAAACUUUCAACAACGGAUCUCUUGGUUCUGGCAUCGAUGAAGAACGCAGCAAAAUGCGAUAAGUAAUGUGAAUUGCAGAAUUCAGUGAAUCAUCGAAUCUUUGAACGCACAUUGCGCCCGCCAGUAUUCUGGCGGGCAUGCCUGUUCGAGCGUCAUUUCAACCCUCAAGCCCAGCUUGGUGUUGGGACUCGCGAGUUAAAUCGCGUUCCCCAAAUUGAUUGGCGGUCACGUCGAGCUUCCAUAGCGUAGUAGUAAAACCCUCGUUACUGGUAAUCGUCGCGGCCACGCCGUUAAACCCCAACUUCUGAAUGUUGACCUCGGAUCAGGUAGGAAUACCCGCUGAACUUAAGCAUAUCAAUA
This 550-nucleotide ribosomal RNA is filed under the name Fusarium circinatum. RNAcentral describes it as "eukaryotic LSU rRNA". The stretch from base 192 to 345 matches the Rfam family "5.8S ribosomal RNA". Lineage: Eukaryota; Fungi; Ascomycota; Sordariomycetes; Hypocreales; Nectriaceae. The record is from RNAcentral.